Loxodonta africana (African savanna elephant) is the source of this 62-nucleotide small nuclear RNA. Its record names the gene U7. It matches the Rfam family "U7 small nuclear RNA". Rfam says of the family: Animal histone pre-mRNAs are spliced by a different mechanism than nuclear pre-mRNAs and self-splicing introns. This processing involves the U7 snRNP, which contains only one RNA species: U7. NCBI's taxonomy places the organism in Eukaryota, Metazoa, Chordata, Mammalia, Proboscidea, Elephantidae. The record is from Ensembl.
GAGUGUUACAGCUCUUUUAUAGUUUGUCUAGCAUGCUUUCCGGUUCUUUCCUGAAGACCCCA